GCUUAACACAUGCAAGUCGAGGGGCAGCAUGGUCUUAGCUUGCUAAGACUGAUGGCGACCGGCGCACGGGUGAGUAACACGUAUCCAACCUGCCGUCUACUCUUGGACAGCCUUCUGAAAGGAAGAUUAAUACAAGAUGGCAUCAUGAGUCCGCAUGUUCACAUGAUUAAAGGUAUUCCGGUAGACGAUGGGGAUGCGUUCCAUUAGAUAGUAGGCGGGGUAACGGCCCACCUAGUCUUCGAUGGAUAGGGGUUCUGAGAGGAAGGUCCCCCACAUUGGAACUGAGACACGGUCCAAACUCCUACGGGAGGCAGCAGUGAGGAAUAUUGGUCAAUGGGCGAGAGCCUGAACCAGCCAAGUAGCGUGAAGGAUGACUGCCCUAUGGGUUGUAAACUUCUUUUAUAAAGGAAUAAAGUCGGGUAUGGAUACCCGUUUGCAUGUACUUUAUGAAUAAGGAUCGGCUAACUCCGUGCCAGCAGCCGCGGUAAUACGGAGGAUCCGAGCGUUAUCCGGAUUUAUUGGGUUUAAAGGGAGCGUAGAUGGAUGUUUAAGUCAGUUGUGAAAGUUUGCGGCUCAACCGUAAAAUUGCAGUUGAUACUGGAUAUCUUGAGUGCAGUUGAGGCAGGCGGAAUUCGUGGUGUAGCGGUGAAAUGCUUAGAUAUCACGAAGAACUCCGAUUGCGAAGGCAGCCUGCUAAGCUGCAACUGACAUUGAGGCUCGAAAGUGUGGGUAUCAAACAGGAUUAGAUACCCUGGUAGUCCACACGGUAAACGAUGAAUACUCGCUGUUUGCGAUAUACUGCAAGCGGCCAAGCGAAAGCGUUAAGUAUUCCACCUGGGGAGUACGCCGGCAACGGUGAAACUCAAAGGAAUUGACGGGGGCCCGCACAAGCGGAGGAGCAUGUGGUUUAAUUCGAUGAUACGCGAGGAACCUUACCCGGGCUUAAAUUGCAGAUGAAUUACGGUGAAAGCCGUAAGCCGCAAGGCAUCUGUGAAGGUGCUGCAUGGUUGUCGUCAGCUCGUGCCGUGAGGUGUCGGCUUAAGUGCCAUAACGAGCGCAACCCUUGUUGUCAGUUACUAACAGGUUCCGCUGAGGACUCUGACAAGACUGCCAUCGUAAGAUGUGAGGAAGGUGGGGAUGACGUCAAAUCAGCACGGCCCUUACGUCCGGGGCUACACACGUGUUACAAUGGGGGGUACAGAGGGCCGCUACCACGCGAGUGGAUGCCAAUCCCCAAAACCUCUCUCAGUUCGGACUGGAGUCUGCAACCCGACUCCACGAAGCUGGAUUCGCUAGUAAUCGCGCAUCAGCCACGGCGCGGUGAAUACGUUCCCGGGCCUUGUACACACCGCCCGUCAAGCCAUGGGAGCCGGGGGUACCUGAAGUGCGUAACCACGAGGAGCGCCCUAGGGUAAAACUGGUGACUGGGGCUAAG
RNAcentral lists this ribosomal RNA (1435 nucleotides) under uncultured organism. Its description in RNAcentral is "SSU rRNA". It matches the Rfam family "Bacterial small subunit ribosomal RNA". The record is from RNAcentral.